Molecule: small RNA, 38 nt
Filed under: Bombyx mori (domestic silkworm)
Lineage: Eukaryota; Metazoa; Arthropoda; Insecta; Lepidoptera; Bombycidae
Description: ovarian small RNA-16331
Source: RNAcentral
GCACCUGAAAUCUUCGGUAGUAUAGUGGUCAGUAUCCC